AGAGACAGCAGUCGCCGCGGUAAUACAGAGGGUGCGAGCGUUAAUCGGAAUUACUGGGCGUAAAGCGUGCGCAGGCGGUUAUAUAAGACAGAUGUGAAAUCCCCGGGCUCAACCUGGGAACUGCAUUUGUGACUGUAUAGCUAGAGUACGGCAGAGGGGGAUGGAAUUCCGCGUGUAGCAGUGAAAUGCGUAGAUAUGCGGAGGAACACCGAUGGCGAAGGCAAUCCCCUGGGCCUGUACUGACGCUCAUGCACGAAAGCGUGGGGAGCAAACAGGAUUAGAUACCCCCGUAGUCCCUGUCUCUUAUAC
This 309-nucleotide ribosomal RNA is filed under the name uncultured bacterium. RNAcentral describes it as "partial 16S ribosomal RNA". It matches the Rfam family "Bacterial small subunit ribosomal RNA", at positions 504 to 807 of the family's 1533-position model. The record is from RNAcentral.